GUUCAAAUCACUCUGGAAGAUGGGGGAGGAGGAAAUGAUGGGAUGACCAGCCAGAGGUGCAGCUUCCCAUCUUCUCCUGUGGUUAAUUUGCAGAUCUCAUCUCCAUGUACUGUACCGUUCCCUGCCUCUGCUUAUCAGAGAGGUCUCGGGAUCUACAUUUGUGGCCUCCACUGCUGGGACAGUCAUCUGAAGUCACCUUGGCCUUCAGCAUCUUUGUGAAGUUAGACAAGAGGAAUGACCUUUAAUGAGCUGACUGUGUACCUAACGUGUGUCACCCUGUAAAGAAUGCUGUGGACUUCUACAGUUUGGUACCUUUAGCAGGGAAUGAUAACUUCUCUCAAAUACUGAACUUUCUUUUUCAGAAGUGACAUGGGGUUACUAAAAAU
RNAcentral lists this long non-coding RNA (386 nucleotides) under Vulpes vulpes (red fox). RNAcentral describes it as "lncRNA (ENSVVUG00000019947.1)". Lineage: Eukaryota; Metazoa; Chordata; Mammalia; Carnivora; Canidae. The record is from RNAcentral.